Molecule: ribosomal RNA, 532 nt
Filed under: uncultured bacterium
Lineage: Bacteria
Description: bacterial SSU rRNA
Rfam family: Bacterial small subunit ribosomal RNA
Source: RNAcentral
AAUAGAUACCCUGGUAGUCCACGCCGUAAACGAUGAGUGCUAAGUGUUAGAGGGUUUCCGCCCUUUAGUGCUGCAGCUAACGCAUUAAGCACUCCGCCUGGGGAGUACGGCCGCAAGGCUGAAAACUCAAAGGAAGUUGACGGGGGCCCGCACAAGCGGUGGAGCAUGUGGUUUAAUUCGAAGCAACGCGAAGAACCUUACCAGGUCUUGACAUCCUCUGACACUCCUAGAGAUAGGACGUUCCCCUUCGGGGGACAGAGUGACAGGUGGUGCAUGGUUGUCGUCAGCUCGUGUCGUGAGAUGUUGGGUUAAGUCCCGCAACGAGCGCAACCCUUGAUCUUAGUUGCCAGCAUUCAGUUGGGCACUCUAAGGUGACUGCCGGUGACAAACCGGAGGAAGGUGGGGAUGACGUCAAAUCAUCAUGCCCCUUAUGACCUGGGCUACACACGUGCUACAAUGGAUGGUACAAAGGGCUGCAAGACCGCGAGGUUUAGCCAAUCCCAUAAAACCCAUUCUCAGUUCGGAUUGUAGG